This 508-nucleotide ribosomal RNA is filed under the name uncultured bacterium. RNAcentral's name for it is "partial 16S ribosomal RNA". It matches the Rfam family "Bacterial small subunit ribosomal RNA", at positions 28 to 507 of the family's 1533-position model. The record is from RNAcentral.
GACGAACGCUGGCGGCGUGCCUAAUACAUGCAAGUCGAACGCUUCUUUCCUCCCGAGUGCUUGCACUCAAUUGGAAAGAGGAGUGGCGGACGGGUGAGUAACACGUGGGUAACCUACCCAUCAGAGGGGGAUAACACUUGGAAACAGGUGCUAAUACCGCAUAACAGUUUAUGCCGCAUGGCAUAAGAGUGAAAGGCGCUUUCGGUUGUCGCUGAUGGAUGGACCCGCGGUGCAUUAGCUAGUUGGUGAGGUAACGGCUCACCAAGGCCACGAUGCAUAGCCGACCUGAGAGGGUGAUCGGCCACACUGGGACUGAGACACGGCCCAGACUCCUACGGGAGGCAGCAGUAGGGAAUCUUCGGCAAUGGACGAAAGUCUGACCGAGCAACGCCGCGUGAGUGAAGAAGGUUUUCGGAUCGUAAAACUCUGUUGUUAGAGAAGAACAAGGACGUUAGUAACUGAACGUCCCCUGACGGUAUCUAACCAGAAAGCCACGGCUAACUACGUG